UCGAACGAAGUAGCAAUACUUAGUGGCAGACGGGUGAGUAACAUGUGGGUAUCUUCCCUUUGGUGAGGAAUAACACGAGGAAACUUGUGCUAAUACCUCAUAAGUCUUUACGGAGAAAGCUUUAUGCGCCAUUGGACGAGCCCGCACUUGAUUAGUUUGUUGGUGGGGUAAUGGCCUACCAAGACUGUGAUCAAUAGCUGAUUUGAGAGGAUGAUCAGCCACAUUGGGACUGAGACACGGCCCAAACUCCUACGGGAGGCAGCAGUAAGGAAUCUUGCACAAUGGAGGAAACUCUGAUGCAGCGAUGCCGCGUGAGUGAAGAAGGCCUUUGGGUUGUAAAGCUCUUUCGUCGGGGAAGAAAAUGACUGUACCCGAAUAAGAAGGUCCGGCUAACUUCGUACCAGCAGCCGCGGUAAUACGAAGGGACCUGGCGUAGUUCGGAAUUACUGGGCUUAAAGAGUUCGUAGGUGGUUAAAAAAGUUGGUGGUGAAAUCCCAGAGCUUAACUCUGGAACUGCCAUCAAAACUUUUUAGCUAGAGUAUGAUAGAGGAAAGCAGAAUUUCUAGUGUAGAGGUGAAAUUCGUAGAUAUUAGAAAGAAUACCAAUUGCGAAGGCAGCUUUCUGGAUCAUUACUGACACUGAGGAACGAAAGCAUGGGUAGCGAAGAGGAUUAGAUACCCUCGUAGUCCAUGCCGUAAACGAUGUGUGUUAGACGUUGGAAAUUUAUUUUCAGUGUCGCAGCGAAAGCGAUAAACACACCGCCUGGGGAGUACGACCGCAAGGUUAAAACUCAAAUGAAUCGACGGGGACCCGCACAAGUAGUGGAGCAUGUGGUUCAAUUCGAAGAUACGCGCAGAACCUUACCAACACUUGACAUGUUCGUCGCGACUUUAAGAGAUUAAAGUUUUCGGUUCGGCCGGACGAAACACAGGUGCUGCAUGGCUGUCGUCAGC
This 953-nucleotide ribosomal RNA is filed under the name uncultured marine bacterium. Its description in RNAcentral is "bacterial SSU rRNA". It matches the Rfam family "Bacterial small subunit ribosomal RNA", at positions 62 to 1059 of the family's 1533-position model. The record is from RNAcentral.